This 24972-nucleotide long non-coding RNA is filed under the name Jatropha curcas. Its description in RNAcentral is "long non-coding RNA (JCUR_LNC000425)". Lineage: Eukaryota; Viridiplantae; Streptophyta; Magnoliopsida; Malpighiales; Euphorbiaceae. The record is from RNAcentral.
UCAAUGCUGUAGAAAUUGUUUCUCCUAAAAAAAUCAUGUAUUACACAGUGGUCAUGGGUGUCAAGACUUGGACUUCAGAAACUGACAUUCAUUUAUACUAGAAUCAUACCCUGUUUGUAACAUUACUUCUUAUUUUACGCAUUUUUCAUAAUUGCAUUAUGUAUAAACUAUCAACUAUCAGUCCAUAGGACACUUCUUCCUUGAGCAAUUAGCAUCCAAAAAAGACUCAUUCCCCAAACAGUUAAAACCGCUCCACACACCAAGACCCCAAUAAUUUAGUUCAUACAAAUCAAAGGAACUUCCAAAUCAAGCAUGGGACUUCAAAAAGAGACAUUCAUUUAUACAAAAAUCAUACCCUGUUUGUAACACUAAUUCUUAUUUUACAAAUGCAGAAUUGCAUUAUGUAUAACCUAUCAGUCCAUGGGAGAAUUCUUCCUAGAGCAAUAAGCAUCCCAAAAAACUCAUUACCCUAACAGGUAAACCAUUCCAAACUCCAACACCACAUCAAUUAAGUUCAUGCAAAUCAAUGGAACUUUCCCGGUCAAACAUGGGAGUUCCUAUUUUAGACAGAAGACUUAGGAUAAUCUGUACAUUAUGCAAUCUCAGGUCAAAUUGAGGGCCUUGACAUGUCUCACACACUGUCAUCUCCGAACAUGCUACUUAAAUGACUGGAGAAGAUGAAGUUGUUAGAAUUAAGCUAAUAUAGCCUCCUUUUUUUUUUUUUUUUUUCGGCCUUCACAAAUGGAAGCCAACAAAAGAUCUAGCAUAAUUUUUAUUUCAUCAAUGAGAUGUAAUAUCAGGGAUUACAUAACAUAAACUGCAGAAUAGAAAGUAUAUACAUGCGAAACUAUUACAUACAAAAAGUACUAACAUCUUGCAAGAUUUCGGACAACUUGCCAGAAGGACAGUUAAUCUCUUGUCCAAAUAGAACAGCAUUUUUUAUUAAAUGCCAAAUCAUCAAACCAUAAAUAAAGUAAAGAUGGAUAUAUAACAUUUUCCCAUGGACUAUAAACAUGCAUGUGCACUUCACCUGUUACUACCCAUGAUAAAAUGAAGGCAUCUCAUUCCAGAAUAGGUAGGUCUUCCUCUCUAACACUGGACUCCUAAAGCUAGUCCUAAUUCUCUAAGGAAGGACUCCUGUAAAACAAUUAAUGUUCUCCUUAACCAAUAAGGACUCAAAAGACUCAGUAGAAAUAUGGGAAUAAUUAUAUAUUUUAUAGAUGACCUUUCAAACAUGACUCGUUUAUGUGUCAUGGCACAAUUGGUCCCAAAUACAUACCAAUUAAAAUAUGGGUUUCUCCAUGUUUAAAGUUAGUAGAAAAAAGAAUACAUUAGUAGAAAAAAGAAUACAUUAAGUGAAAUUUUUCCUGCUACAUAUUUGUCCACAACUAUAUAUUUGUUCAUCUGAAGAAUAAUAUUUAUUAAUUAUAUGAUAAUGGAUAGGACCAAUACAUAUAAUACAAGUUUUUGUUGCUCCGAACCAUUAUACUUGAUGUGUUAGGCAUUUUAUGUUUUAGAGUCACUACCAUUAUUUUCCCUUUUCUGCACCACUUCCAACCAACAUUUUCAAUUUUUUCUACAAUUUAAAUCCUUCAAAAAUUGCCUAAAUUAGCUUAUUCUUGAUUUUGCUUUAUAACAAGGCAAAAAUCAAGAUAAGAGUAUCUGUAGUAUCCUUUUCACACUUUUCUUGAAAAAGGUGUGUUAACUUUGACUUUUCCCAUGUUGAUUACUUGCUUUUGUAAAUGAGUUGUUAACACAUUUGGUGAUGCUAUAUUGCCACUAAUAUCAUACAUUAGUUUGAUCAGUUAGCUAAUGGCAUUUCUCAGUUUUAGUAAAGUCCUUUAACAUUUAUUUUUUAUGCAUUUUGUAACCUUUAUAGAAAUAAUUGUAUAGGGACAAGCUGCAACAUAAAGUGAAAGCAGAGAUAGCCCAUUUCCAUUACAAAAGACCAGAAUUUAACACGAUUGCACAAUAUUUCACUAAAAACUGCAGCCUGCAAAGUUACAAUCUAGGAUCCGCCCUUGAUUAAAAACUAACUAUUUCUAUUUCUAUCAAAAGUAUCCAAUAAGUUGUGCCUAGGAAAUUCUUUAAAUGGGGUGAAAAAUAACUUAACUUACCCUUUCAAGAUGUUGGAGGAGUGCAGCUUUAAAUUGGCGAACACCACGUCCACUAUGAAGUAGGGUCCAACUUAUGUGCCUUCUCAAAGGCAUAAAAUCGGCCUACAUUAAGAGUACCAGAAAAUGAGAAACGGUAUCAAAUGGAAGCUCCAACAUAGAAAUAUGAAAGGAAAAUACCUACAAGGAUGGUUGUUCACCCACAUGAAAAUAAAGAAAAAGUUUGAACUAAAAUCCAUAUAAUCAUGAAAGCUUUCCAAGUAAAUUCAACACUAGUAUGGCAUUUGAAGCCCACAACAGAAUUUUCAGAGCUGAAAAAAUUAUUUCAGGAAAUCAGAAAUACACAAAAAGCUUUAAUUACCUUAUGGAGAUUUAGUAAUCUAGUAAAGGCAGUUGCACAUGCUUUCAGGAAUAUAAACAGCCUAAGACCAGGACCAAGACAGGAAUAAUAUUCAAUUCAUUACAUAAUGCAGCCUUUUUUUUUUUUUCACGAGAACAGAUUUUUCUGAGAAAAGAAAAAACGGAGAAUAGAUUGUGGAGGACAAGCAAUCCUCCACAAUGUUAAAAAGUGCAACCACAUAUCAAAUCUCAUAAUCACAGAAUCACAUGCAACAACCAUCACGUUCGUACAUUCACUCUCACAUAAGCAAGCUUGCCAUGCAACAUGCAAAAGAAAGCCCCAGCAACCCAAAAUACAUUAAGGCAUGUAGAAUGGAAGACAGCGGAGAAAAACGCAUGAUUCAAAUAAAGUCAAAUUUCUCAGAAUUCUGAGCCUUCAAGAUGUAGCAGACACAAGGCGAACAGGCAACCAAACACUACACACACAAGAGGCAGACUACUAUACUGGUAAGUAGAAUAAAGGUGUACUUAGUUACGGUUUAAAAUUCAUGCUGCCAUUACAACCUGAAAUUUGAGAAGCCAUUUUAAUUAAAAAAAAAAAAAAGGUCAGAAAUAUGUGAAAAAAAAAAAUUUUUUUUUUGCCCUCAAAAAAUACUAGAAAGCAAUUCAAAACCCAAAUUGAUCACGGAAAAAAGAUAAAAAGUUAAACAAAUCAGAUUACCCAAAAAAUAAAAAAUAAAAAAGAGCCAAAAAAAUGUAGCCUUCUAUAAACUUACAUAGAUAAGCAACUCUUGGGUUGCUAGAUUCUACUUCAUAAGCAACACGAAGAAUAGGAGCUAUCUCAACUAAUGAAGAUGGCACCACCUCACUGUCAAAUAUCGACUCUCCAAGAUUCCCUGCAGUCUGCGUCCUCGUGAUCCGCCGUGCUGGCGGUGGCGUAGCCUGAUCCGGCCCUCCUCUCAACGAGGAGGUCAUCUGUUUCCGUAUCCGUGAACCUUAUUUCCCUUAAAAAUUUAAAAAUAAAUUAAAAAUAAAAAAUCAAGCUCAUUGCUUCUCUAACUAGCAAUCACACAUCAAAAAUCGAGAAAAAAAAAUAAUAUUGCCAAAAAAUAAACUAAAAUGGAAAAUUUUCAUUUUUAACAAGAAAAUUUAAGAACUAAAGCAAAUCAAUCUUAGUACCAGUACUGGUUAUAGCACAAUAAUAAAGGAAGUACAUUGCAUUAACUGCAAUCAAACACUGCAUAAAAGGAAAGUAGAAAUGCGAAGGAUUAGUUCAAGAGAUUAGUUUAGAACUAACAGAGAGAGAAAGAAACCCAAACAGAAAACCCAACCAGAGAGAGAGAGAGAGGCUGCGACUGUAAGCUACUUAGUAAAGAAGGAAAGCUAACAUGGAAGGUAGGGUAGUGAGUGUCCGAGACACAAAACAGACGGAGAACCAGUGAGGUCAAGCAAAAAGGAAAGUUUAUUUGAAAAAAUUCGACCUUUUUACUGCUAUUGGUCCGAUCUAAUUUUUGAGGUUUGAGUCAUUGAAUUGACCUUCGGUAUUUGAAUUAUUACGGAAAUGCGAUUGGCUUCUUAUUAUGCUUGCAGCUCUUGUGGUAUAGAUUAUAUUACUAAAUUGCCCCCCACCCCCAUAGAGGCACAUCUUUGUUUCUUCCCCUUUUUCAGACACAAACUACUAUUUUAUAUAUUAUUAGUGGCUCUACAAUUUUAUUUUAUUUUUCUUGUAUAGAGAAAAAUAAAAUUGAACUGGAUUAAAGGUGUCUGAUAAAAUAUUUCAUUUUUUUAAGGAAUAUGUAAUUUUUCAUUUAAUAAAAAUUAAUUGAAAAUAACAGUUGCAAUUAGUUUUCAAGAAAAUAACAGUUACAAUUACACGAAAAAAAUAAAGAGAAAUGAUAUUAAUAAAUAAUAUUUUAAUAAAUAUUUAAUUUUUUAAUUUUUAUGUCUCAAUUUUUAUUAUAAUAUUUUUAAUAUUUAUAUAAUUGAUUUGUAGAUAAUUAAUUUAAAAUUUACAAUGUUCGAAUUUAAUUUAACAAAUGUGGAUAAUAUUUAUAAAUUGUAAUUAUAAUAUUAAACUAUUUUUAAAAAAUAUACCAUAAUAAGAUUACAAAAUAAAAUAUUCUAUUCGUUAAUGCUAUUUAUUUUUAUAAUUCUAUUUAUUUAUAGAGUCAAAUAAAAAUUUAUGAUUUUGAUGGCUAUUUUAUUUAGUGAAAAAUUUUUUAUUGAGCUAAUUAUUUAUUUAGUCAAAUUAUUAUUGUUUAUUGUAUUAUUGAUUAUUAUGUCUUGAUAUUUAUAAUUUUAUAUUUAAUUAAUUAAUUUCAAUACAUACUAGGUGGAGGCCAAUUAAAAAAAUAUGCUACAUGUCAUUUCUUGGAAAAACAUGCUCGGUGGAGCCUUAUAGAAAGAUUAUGCCAUAUAUCAAUUUCUUAGAAAAAAAAAUAUUUACUUUAUAUAUACUGAUUAGAAAAUUUUAAUUUUAGUCAAAUACUAGAAUAAACCAAUAUUUCAAAAGAUCGCAAACCGGAAAAAAAAAAAUUGCAUCACAAUAAUAAAAAAAAAAAAAUUAGGAAUAAAGGAUACCUUUAUAUUUUCAUUAAGCAUAUAACGGGGAAAAAAAAUAAAACUUAGAUGAGAGGGCUUCUAAGUUUAAGUGUUGUAAAUUACAGGGAUUAAAUAAUAAUUUUAUCAAUUUUACCAUAUUAUAACGAUUAAAUAGUAAUUCAUCCUUAAAAAAUUUUAUAUUUUAUUUAUUUUUUAACAUUUCUUUUUUGAAAAUGUAAUUUAUUAAUAAUAAUAUUAAGAAUUAUAAAUAAGCAUAUAAACCAGACAUAGGACUUUAAUAUUAGUACCUAAUAAAGUUUGUUGAUCUUUUAAAGAAAUAAAAGAAUUUAUAUUCUUUUAAAUGAAUAUUAGUAGCUAAUAUUAGAUUUCUGCUUUUAACUUAUCUUGACAAAAGAUAUAAAUUUUUAUAACAGCAACUAAUCCGUUAAUUGAUUUGAAUAUUAAAAUAAUAACUUUUUUGAAUCUUCUAUAACUAGAUUGCUUUUUCUAUAAUUUGCAAUAUAUGACGCACACAAAUGGAUAUCCGCCGUUAUGCGUCAAUAGCAUCAAAGAAGGAACAUAUUGUACUAUGAGGCUCCAUUGAUAGAAGAUUUUUACUUGCAAAUAAAGAUCUAAAAUCUCCAACCGAAUAAAAUCAAAUAUCAUAGUUUUGUUUAGUAAUAAACCCUCACAAAGAAGGGGAAAAAAACUCCAAAUAUGGAGACAAACAACAAUAACAAAAUAAAAAAAAAUAAAUUUGUUAUAGGAAAAACAGAUCUGAGUUUAUUAAAGCAAAAACAGAUUAAAGCAAAAAAAGAUGAAGCGAAAAAAGUAUUAGAAAAUAGGAGGUACUAAAUCUAGGGUUAAAAAACUAAAGAACAAGAAGAAGAAAAGAUAUAUAUAUAUAUAUAUUUAACAAUUAUUAGACUAGUCAUUUAUCAUUAUCGUGAAUGAGACAAUUCUUUUUCAUUUGUAAAAAGAUAAAGAGCAGUACUCUUUUAAAAAUAUUCCUUAAUGAAAUUAAUAUACAAAUUUUAUAAAUUGAAUAAGAGAGAAUAAAAUAGUGUUGGUGUAGAAGUUGGCAAUAUUUUUUCUUUAUUUGUUAGUAAACUUUUAAUACUGUUUCAGGGCUUAUUAAUUUAGUUAUUUAUUUUUACUGUUAGUUGGUAGUUAGUGAUUAAUAAGAAUCAUCAUUCGAUUCAAUUGAACUAAAUUUAUUAAAAAUAUUAAAUUUAAAAAAUAUAAAAAUUGAACCAAACUAACUAAAUAUGUUUAUAAAACCAAAUCAAACCGAAAAUAAUUCAAUAUUGUUAAUAAAAAAAUAAAAUUGAAAUAAUCGAACAAAUAAUUUUUUUUUACCUUUUCAGAGUAUCCAUUUAGUUCGAAAUUCAAAUUAAGCUGACCGAACAUUAUCUUAAUUUAGUUCGAUUUUCUAAUUUAAUAUGAAAUUUAAUCAUGCUCAAUAAUUUGAUUAUUGCCAUUUAUUUGAAACAAAAAAAAAUUGAAAUUCAUAUUUAACUAACUAAACCACAAUGAUUUUAUUGAAAAGUUAAUUCGAACUAAAUAGAAUAAUAUUAUAUUUAUUUGAUUUAAUUUCUUAGGUAAAACCAAAGCUUACUAACCCAUAGUUUUUUUUUUUUUUUUUAAAGGAAGAAAAUAUCAUUAGUCAGAAAUAUCAUAUACAAUAAGAGCUUCUAUAUUUCUUGGAAGCUCAUGCAAAAGACGAGUAUAUGAAUGAGCAACCCAAGCUAAAGAGUGAGCUACUCUAUUAACUUACCUUCGUAUCCAUUUAACAAUAGUGUUAUUACUUCAUAAACUCAAAUGCUGAUAGUCAGCAAUCAUCAAGCCCCAUUCGGAUAGGUCAGUAGCAUUACUUUGAAAAGCUACAACUACUUCCUUAGCAUCCAACCCUACCUGCACAUGUGAGAAGUGCCUGACUUUAAUCCGUGAGAGGACAUCCGUUAAGCCCAACACCUCAGCCAUUUUAGCUUCAUAAACACCAUUGAAAAAAUCAGAUAAGGUAGUAACAAAAUCUCCACUCCUAUUAUGAAACACAAUGCCAAAGCCCACUUUAUUUAAACCCUCAAAAACGGCCGCAUCUACAUUGCACUUUAAAAAACUAGCUGCUGGAGGAGACCAGCCUAACUGCAGAGUAAGAAUAACAGCUUGAAGCCUACCAUUUUCAUUAACACACUGAGCUUCAGACCAUUCGUGAAGAUAAUGCAGAGCUGCAGCAACCAACUGGCAAGGGUCAGAAACAAAUUUCUACUAAAUAAACAGGUUCUUGUGGAACCAUAUGAACUAAACAACACAACAUCUCUGCACCAUUUCAUCCCCUAAUCUAUCCUUGACAUUCAGCAACCAAUACAUAAAAGAGACACCAUCUACACUCACCAAUCUAGCAUCCAACAAAAGCCAACACAUAGCAGCUCGCAGACACCAUAACAAAAGAUGUUCGAUAGUUUCUGCCUAAUCAUAAUAUGCCCAACAGACAUUAACAUGAAUGCCCCUCCUCGAUAAACUAGACCUAGUUGGUAGAAUAUCACAACACACCUUUUAAAGAAAACUUUUAACCUUAGAAGGAACUCCUAGAUUCCACAAGAACUUCUAGAAGCGUUGCACCUAUAACCUGUAACAAGAGUGCAUUUUAAAGGCCCAAUGAUAGGCUGAUUUGACAAUGUAGGUCCCCGCUCUCUCCAAAUGCCAGACAAUUGCAUCAUCACAGUUUUGCAUACCUAAAGGAAUUUGAUGAAUACGAUCAGCAUCAACAGGAGCAAAAAGGUCACGCACAAAGCCUUCAUCCCAUAUUUUAGUAACAAGGUUAAUCAAACCAAACACUUUAAGCUCCUUAAAACCUUCGACAAUAUCUGAUUCUACAUGAAAAUUAGGACUACUACACACCCAAGGAUCAUCCUAAACACAAAGUCUAGACCCAUUUCUAACUCUCCACCGAAUUCCGGCUUUUAGCACAGGUUGAGAACAGAAAAGACUCCUUUAUAUAUAACUCGAAUUUUGGCCUAAAAUGGCAUUACAAAGAUCCCCAUCUGGAUAGUAUUUUCCUUUGAGGAUCUGUGAUAGAAGAGCACUUUGGUUGGUUAUUAGCUGCCAACCUUGCUUACCCAAUAAAGCUAAAUUAAAACUAUGAAGGUGUCAAAAACCCAUACCUCCAUUACUUUUACUCAAACACAUUUUAUCCCAAGCUAACCAAUGAAUGUUUUGCCUUCCGUCCUUCUUUGAAUCACAAAAAAGAAUUCAAUAUCCUUUCAAGCUCCAUAUAGGUAGUCACAGGUAAUAAAAACACACUCAUGUAACAAGAUGGUAUUACUUAAGCCAUUGAUUUAAUGAGGACUUCCUUACCUGCCUUGGUUAACAACUUGCUUUUCCACCCUUGGAGAUGCUUCCAUAUCGGAUCUCGAAUAUCGGCAAACACAGUUUUCUUGCUUCUGCCAACUAUAGAUGGGAGGCCUAAGUAAUGACCUUGGCCAAGAGUUGUAUGAAUAUUUUACAAACUAGGAAUAUUAAUUCUCAAUAAAUUACUAACGUUAGGACUAAACAUAAUAUCUAAUUUCUAGUAGUUAAUAGUUGCCCAGAAGCUUGCUCAAACAAAGAUAAAAUAUGCUUAACUCGAUUCACUUCAAAAAUAUUUGCUCGAAAAAAGAAAAAAAUUGUUGCUUACUAAAAGCAAAUGAGAAACAGAAGGUGUACCUUUAAUAAUUUGACAGCCAUGGAUAUCACCACACCUCUCCGCCUGUCUGAAUAAAGCUAAAAGCCCCUCCGCACACAACAAAAAUAGAUAAGGCAAUAAUGGAUCCCCCUGCCUCAAACCCCUCUCAGGGAAAAUAGCCUAUAUCCAUUCCAUUAAAGGAAAUUGAAUACUUUACCGAAGAAAUACAUAGCAUAAUCAAGUCAGCCCAUCAUGAAGCAAGACCCAUGUUAAUUAUCAUCGCUUGAAGAAAACCCCAAUCCACACAAUCAUAACACUUGCUAAUAUCAACCUUUAGCGCGGCUAGACAUUUCUUUCCAAAAGUUUUUCGCUUCAUAAACUGGAGGAUCUCAAAAGCUACCAACACAUUGUCAUUGAUAAGUCUACCCGGCACAAAAGCUGAUUAACAUGGGGAAAUAACUUUGUCCAAUACUUUUUUCAACCUGUUAGCUAAAACCUUCGCAAGAAUUUUAUAAACCACAUUACAGAGAGAAAUUGGCCAAAAAUCUCUAACUGUUUGAGGAGCCCCAAUUUUUAGAAUUAAAGCUACAGAGGUACAGUUAGGAAAAUUUGAAAAUUCACCGGUUGACAAUCAAGUCUUACAGUUGAAAAUCACAUCUGUCCCCACAAUUCGCCAAAAAUUCUAAUAAAACUAUACAUUUAAACCAUCAGAACCUGGACUCUUAUACGGAUGCAUUUGGAAUAAAGUAAUCUUAAACUCAUCAUCUAUAUAAUGCAUAAGGAGCAUCUUCUUGUUAGCCGGCAAAAUAGAAAGAAUAAUAAAAUCUAUAACAGAAUCAUAAGAGUGUGGCGAAGCAGAAAAUAAAUCAGUGAAAUAUCUUUGAACAAUACUCCCAUUGUAACGUCAUCUUCACACCAAACCCCAUCCUCAUCAUACAACCCCUUAAACAAAUUAAUACGAUUUUGUUGCAUUGCAGCUGCACGAAAGAAUACUAUGUUGCUAUCACUAUUUUUCAACCAAAACACUUUGCUGCGCUGCUACUAAAAUAUUUCCUCUUGAGCUAAGAUAUUAUUCAAGUUGAUUUUAGCUUUCUUAUAAUCCGCAAUCGACGCAGCAUCAGUUAGACCAUGCAAACUAACCACAGCUAUUAGUGGUCGAUUAAAUUGUGAGUGUUGGUCAUUUUUGUAAAAUUUUAGACAAUUACUAAAACAUAGAGCUUGUUCAACAAUAAUUUUUAGUGUUAUUAUUUUGGCAUAUUCGGCAACACCGUUUUGGAUAGCUUUUAGUGUUUUGAAUUAGUCAAAACACUUUUUCUCUAAAUUAUUAUUUUCAGUAACCUGAUAUAUGAAAUAGAUUUUAGAGGAUGAAUGAGCAUUUUCUAAAACAUUAUCCCGCCUGAUGUUUAGCUGCUUAGGUUUUUUUACUUCUUUUAUGCUUUAAAAUAUUUCUUUAUCACAUUAUAUCUUUUUAUUAUUUUUUAUGCUUGGCUUGUUUAUAAUUGACAGUAAGCAAAAAUGUUUAUUUGUUUUUUGCCUCCGAAGGCGAACGGGGAUUAGUCAGGUUUGUGGACUAUUAAAAUGAAUACGAGCCUGGAUACCUCAUGCAACUAUAAAAAAAAUGUUUGUUUAUAUAUUUGCAUUUGAACUCGAGAAAAUGUUAAAAAUUAAAAAUAUUAAUCCACUAAAAUAUUAAAAAUUUCCAAUUUUAUUUAUAAAAUAAUGAACUGUUUAAUUUUUGCUCUCUUAAAUUUUGAAAAUUUAGGUUCAACGAAAUCAUCUUUUGUGUUUUUUUAUACCGAGUUUAAUUCUAUGGUUAUAAGCGAAAAUUCUAAGUGAAUAUUACUUUAUCAUUUUAAAUUUAAUUGUCAAUCAAACAACUUUUUAUCAAAUACUUUCGCUUUCAGUUGCUACUUAAAUAGCUAACAACUAGCAGCUAACAUCUAACAACUGACAUGUAAUAGUUAAAAGCUACUAAAAUAGCUAACAACUAGUAGGUACUAGAACUAAAUUUGUCAAAUGGACCCCUAGUCAAAAUACAUGAUGUUUAUAUUAAGAUUGAGAGGUUGAAAAAAGUAAAUUAUAAGACAUUGUCUCCUAUCAACAAGUAAAAUAGCUAAAAACUAUUAGAAUAAUUAACUUCUAUUAAAACACUAAUGUUACAAAGAAAGAGCAUAAAAUCACCAUAUUAUAUAUAUAUAUAUAUAUAUAUAUAUAUAUUUAUAUUUAUAUUUAUAUAAUCCUGAAACCAAAAAAUCUUUAUAAAGCGGACGUGUCACUUCCAUGUUUGAGUGUUGUUUUUUUCUCCUUUUUUUAUAAAUUUUCUAAAUUUUUAGUAAUUGUUGAGCAUUUUUAUUUUCAUAUCUAUAUAUAUCUAUAUCUAAAAUCUAAAAUUUUGAAUAAUUAAAACUUUAAAAUUUUUGAAUUAUUGAAUUUAAAAGUUUGAAACUUUUGAAGGUUUGAAUUUAGAACUUCAAAAAAUUUUAAAUUUUUUUCUUAUCAAUAUAUAUAUACCUCUUUCAAUGAUUAUUUUAACAAUGGUUUUCUUCUUAUCUUUUUAUUGUUUCUUUCAAUCAUUUUAUUUAAAUUUCCUAGGUUUUGGCUAUGUUUUUAUUUUCAUGUGUGUGUUAUUGUUGUUUUUCCUUCUUUUUCUUUCCAGAAUUUUUUAACUAUAUGAAAUGAUAUGUAUGCAAAAAGAAGUGAAUAUAGAGGCAAAGAUAAGAGCAGAGAAAGGACCGAUAUUAACUGAAUCUCAUUAUUAUGAUAAUUUAUUUUCUAUCUUUGUAUUAUUAGUUGUAUGAUAUUGAAUAUGUUCAUUAGGAGUUUUUUUUUUUAAUUUAUUUGUAUAGUUUUUAUGCUUAUGAAUGAAAGGUAAGUUUUUAUUUAUUAUUGUUGUUAUUAUUAUUUUGCACUUUCUUUUAUUUGUUUUGUUUCCUAGGGUUGGAGGUUAAAAAGAAAUCUAAACAUUAAAUUUAAUAAAUACAUUUAAAAUAACAAAGAAAGCCAAUAAGAUAACAUCUGAUAAAUUCAAAAAUAAAUAUAUUUAAUAAAUUAAAAAGAUGAGAUACCUAAUAUUCUUAUCAUUUACAUUUUAAAUUUAUUAUCUAAAUAUUAAAAAAUUAUAUAUAAUGAUUAUAUUUUAAAAUUAUAUUCAUUUAUCAUAAUUGUCUAUAUCUAUAUUCAAUUUUGAAACUUUUUAUUAGAUCAUUUAAGAUUUUUUAAGUUUAAAAAUUAGUACUAAUUUAAAAUAAUUAUCUAUAUUGAUAUUUGAUUUUUUUAGUUUUAGAUUCGACUAUUCAAUUUUUCUCCAUCUAUUUAUAAUAAUUUUAUAUUUUUAUAUCUAUAUAUAUUUACUAUUGUCUUUAUGCUUAUUUGCAAAAAAUUCUGUAUAUAUCGAGAAUGUGUUUACUGUAUUUUAGUUAUAAGUAUAUCUUUUAUAAUAUUUUAUUUGCUUCUUUUUAUUUCUGUCAAGUUGUAUGAUUUAUUUUAUAUAUACAAUAAAAAAAAGCCUCUAAUGAGAUAUAUGAUAAUAAAGUAAUAAACAACCCGCGUAAUGCGCGGGUUUCUACCUAAUUAUGUAAAUAUAAAAGCUACAUAUAUCAUUUUCUGUUUUAGUGUACUGUGUAAAUAAAAAUAGUAAUUAAGUCUUUUUAAUAAUAUUUAAUAAUUAGUUUUAUUUUUAAAUAAUUACAAAUAAAAUAAUUCAAUAUCGGCUUAGUAUCUUUGAAUUGAAAUUAAAGGCUUUUACUGUAGGGGUAAUCUCGUAAGAGCAUGAUCCUACAUAGCUUAACCUGCAAAUAUAUACAACAUGGGUAUGGCAUGUUAAAACCAAGAACACUAUGGGCAAUUGUGGUAGGUGAUUCAAAAUUCAUAAAAAGAGGCAAGAUUCUUAAUGAUCUAAAGCUAAAGCGCCGGAUAAAAAAGUAGCCGUUUUAGUAAGAAGCUUCAAUUCACCAUUUUACCCUUACUCUCUUAUUUAAUUACCUAAACUCAACCCAUAACUCUCAAAAACUGCGGGGGCGAGAGAAGUAAAUUGAAACAAUCUAUAAGCCAAGCCAAGUUUUAAGUUAGGUAAAUAAAGAAAAUGUGAAGGGCAGUUAGGACAUUUCGAGGAGUAAUAUCGCUGGGAGAAGAGAUAAAUGUCGGUUUGUUCUGUUCUGUGCAAAAAUUCCACAAAUGCUUUUUGUUAUUUUAUUUGUUUAUUGGGUCCCACUGCCAUUAGUCGCAACUGACAACAGCAGUAGUCUACUCUACUCUACCGCGAUGGGACCCAAUAAGACCACAGGACCUGCUCUGACGUGGCAUUCACUGUCUGGGGCCUAUCUAUCUUCUGUGUAUUUUCUAUUUGUUCCUUUGGCUUUUAAAAUUUAAAGAACCGUUUUCCUAUGCAUUGGUUGGGCUCCAUGCUGAUGCUGACUCCGAAUAUUUUACAGGCUAAAUUGAUAUAUAUAUCUAAGCUCUGGACGUAGUUUUAAUUGUAAUUUAAAUUUAAUUUUGUUCUUUUAAUAUGUUGAAUUUUCAUUUUAGUUAUAAUAAUAUUCUAAUUUUAAAUUGUAUCUAAUUUUAUGAAUAAAAUAUUAUUUUUAUAGAAUUCAAUUUAAUAUUUUCCCCAAAUUACACUAAUAAAUAAAUAUUAUAUUUAUUUAUAUAAAUAUUAAAAUAUAAAUAAUAUAUUCAUCUUAAAAAAAAAUACUUUUAUUCCUUUAUGCAAUAUUAACAAUAAAUAAUGAUUCCUUAAAAAUAAAAUGACGUCAUAAUGAAUAAAACUUAUUUUUAUAAGAAAUUUAAACUGAAUAUAAAUAAAUUUCUAUGCUUAAAAAAUGCCAAAACAAAAAGGAAUAAAGAUUAAUUUGGUCUCUCAACAUGUUUAGCAUGAUAAAAAAGGUUAGAUUUAAUAUUUCGGACCAAUUUAGCUCUUGAACUUGGAUAAAAUGAUUAAAAAGAUCUAAUUUCACUUGUAAGUCAAUUUAACGCCCGAACUUAUUUAAAAUAAUUAAAAAAAAUCAUGUUUGACAUUUUGAGUCAAUUUAACAUCUAAUUCUUUGUUGUACUUAUAAUGUGAAAAUCAUUAUAUAGACGUUUAUUAAAACUGCAGUUGGUAUCAAGCUUACUAAUUUAUUAAAAAAUUCAUUAAUUACAAAAUAUAGGAAAAAUGAUAUAUGAAGUGUAUUGUUUCUCUCUUUACCUUGAUUGAUGGUUUUGAGCUUAUAAAUAUGUAUUAAUUUAAACAUUUUAAAAUUAACCUAUAUUACUAGGUUAUCGCUUAUGAAAUCUAUACAUUUUUCAUGUUAAAUAAAUUAAAAGUAUAAUGCAUGUUUAUAAAUUUAUUUUAUUAUAAGAAAUGAUGUUUUUACGAAUAUUAAAUUUUAUAUUCAUAAGUGUUGAAAAAUUUUGAUCUAUGUAUUCUUAGUGUAGGACAAAAAUGAAUAAAAAGUCAAUAUUAUUAAUUUAUAAAAAUCAAAACAAGUUCAAGGGUUAAAUCAACCUAAAAAGUGAAAUUAGAUAUUUUUAAUCAUUUUAUACAAGUUCAAGGAUUAAAUUGGCCCAAAAGAUCAAAUCUGACAUUUUUUUAUCCCGCUAAACAAGUUCAGGAACCAAAUUUACAUUUAUUCCAAACAAAAAUCUAAACUAAUAUUUUAUGCUUAUAACUAGCUAAAAUUUAGAAUUUUACUUGCCUUUUAUGAAUUUAAAUUUCUAACCAAUAUAAUUAGUUAGGGUAUUAUUAAAUAGUGAAUUUUUAGUUAUCCUAACCAUAAGAGAGAAUAUAGAUCCAAAGAAAAUAAUAUUUUAUUCAUUACAUAUGAUAUAAUUUGAAAUUAAGAUGCUAUUGUAACUAAAAAUUGAAGUUCAAGAUACUAGGAGAAGAAAAUUUGAUUUAGGUUACAAUUAAAACUUCCCAUAAAGUUUGGGGUAUUUUUAAUGAUUUAGCCUAUUUUAUAAGGGUUUGAGCUGAAUUAUUGUGCAAUCUUUCAAAUUAAUAUUUAAACUAGUCGUAAAACAACGCUUCGCGCAUAGUGUGUUUAAAUAAUAUUAUUAAAUAAAUGUGUAUUUUCCUUUUAGAAUUUAACUAUAUAAAAUGUCUUUCUCCUUUUAAUUAGUAGACAUUAUAAAAGAAAAAAAAAAGAAAUGAUAUUUUAAAAAGAGAAAAAAGAAAGAGACUUUUAGCUAAGGAAGCUCUCUCUUACAAGGAGCUCAUGUUCAUGGAAGAAGUCCUUUCAUUCCUAGAUGUUCUUAUUCAGGCUUAUAUAACAUUAUUUUCUUAAUAAUAUUAGUGUUAGAACCUACUAUAUGCGCGAAUCAUUAUUAAAGGAUGAAAUUAGAGAUGUAAACGAGGCUAGUAUCGGAAAUUUUGAACUACCUGUAAAUUAACCAUAUCCGUUUAAAAUUUUACUCCACGUAUUUGUCCCAACCCCGUUAAAUAUCAAUUUAAGUACUCAUAUCUGAACUCUUUUAGAAUUUUACUACUCGUAUCCAUUCCAAACUCGUUUGAAGUACCCCUUAAAUGGAUUCGGUAUCCGCACAUUUUAAAUUAUUCAAACCCAAACUUAUUUAAAAUGCAUUUGUUACUAAUAAAUGCGGUACCCACGAGCAAAGCCGUUUAUGUCACGAUCCAUUCCCGUGGGCCGGACAGGCACUAGGGUCUAGGUAAGCUUAAGGCCCCUGGGGUCCGUAGUAAACCUAAACUACUCAACUUAUACAUGCCACACCAUUUAACAGGAACAGUAAGCCCAUACAAGUUAGGAUAUAAAAUAUAGAUAAAUAUUAUACAAUCCGGUCCAGUCUUAAUUAUCUCGAAUAAAGUUUAGUCUGGACCUAAUCAUGAUAAAUCACAUUCACAAUAUGGGCAUACUGAUUCACCUGCGUCUAAUUAUACAACAAAUCAUUUAUAAAGUAACGCAUACGGCAAGGCCAAUUGAAAAUACACAACCCUAUAACUGCGGAGUUCAACAAUAAUUUGGAAAUAGAGUAGUGUAUAUAUUUAAUAACAUAAUUCAACUAAUAACAAAAAGUCAUAAAUUUACUUUUGUAGCUCUGCGAGAAAAAUUAUAGAGUUUCAGUUGAGCAGCAGCUUCCGACUACCUGAGAAGUUUAGAGAGAAGGGGGGUGUGUUUUGCAACUCAAUGAAUAAUAAUAAAUAAUACACACCACAUACAGUCACGCAAAAUGCACCCUAGUAUGCUGAAUGAACACACAACAGUCAAUCAUAUGGCAUAGUAUCAGCACCCAUAAUUAAUAUCACCUUCAAAUAAUCACAUCAAGUGGAAAUUAGUCAGUGGCGUCACCUAAACCCCUGACGACGAGCCAUACUCUCACAUGGCCCAUCCUCUCAAACGUGUGCACCCGGGGAGCCAAUCCCCCAUACCUGGCCGACCGGUCUAAUCCUCACAUGACCAAUCCUCUCAUUUCUUUUCCAUACCAACAGGAGGCAAUCCGGUGGUCUCCGUCAAAUCUAGAUCAUCAAGUGCACACAACAGGAGGCCACCCUGUGGGCUUCCAUGACAUCCAGAUUAUCAAAUGCACACGACAGGAGGCCACACUGUGGUUUCUAUAUAAUCUACAGUAUCAGGUGCUCACGGGGGCGUCGAUCUCCCAUUUUCCCGACCGACGGUCAAAUUUCAUAAUUUCAACAUAAUCAGGAUCCAUGCUUUAUCGACCAUCCUGAUAAACCCAUAGUGACCCACUUUAUCCCAAUUCCACAUGAACAAAGCACAGUAUAUACAUAGCACAAGUAAUGAAACAAUUCAUUCAACGUAAUACACCGAUUUACAUAGUGUUUGGUUUAAAUGAAUUCCACAAAAUUUUGUGGAAUUCAAUUGAAAUCCAUGUUUUGCUUGUUUGAUAUAUAUAUAUAUAUAUAAAACUCAAUUUGAAGAAUUCAAUUCUGUAGAAUUGGUUAUAACUAAAAUCAAAUUUUCUAUUUAGGUUGAUGGAAUUUGAAAUGAAUUUCGCGAAACUAACAUAACAUUACUUUUGGAACUAAAAUACCCUCAUAUAACAUAUGUAGUCUACAUUUAAUUAUAAUUACCUAUCACUUAGCUUUAAUUUCAAUUUAAUCCAAGAAAGCCAUGUUCAUCCAAAUUCUUGAUAUCUAAUUGUAUAACAACUAAUAGCAAAACUCAAAUUAGUUUAAUUGGGUAAAGAAGAAGAUGGAAACGACAAAUUAGUUUUCUAUCCAUUUACCAUCCGAAUGUCUAGAUAUUAUAUAGAUAUUUUAUAUUUUAAUAUUAACUUUUAAUGGCUAAAUUUACUAUGCCCUUAUCAUUGACAUUAUUUAUAUUGUUAUAUAAAACACUUAUACUAUGAGGCAAGUUAAUUUAUUUUGUAUUUGUUAAUAUUUUGUUAAUUGGUAUAUAUAGUUGUUAAUCAUUAUACACUUAUUAGAUAUAAGAUAUUUCUUUUAUAAAGUUAAAAUUAUUAUUUCUAAAUUUUAUUAUGAGGGUAGUUUAGGAAAUGAGAAUAAAUAAAAUUCAAUUGUGAAAUUAUGCCAAACAAUAUUAUGUGAAGUUUAAUUGAAUUCCACAUUUUAAGCUGUAUCAAACACAAGAAUUCGUUUCUAAAUGAAUUCCAAGUAAAAUUCAUUCCAUAUGAACAUUUCAACUCUUAUUCAUUUCAACAAAACAUUAAUGUUUCAUGUAACUAACCUCAUAUUUGAACUGAAAAUUAAAUUUACAUUGUUCAGUGAUCUAAAAAGUUGGAAUAUGAGGUUAGCAACACUAAUGUUUCUGCAGAUACAUACAGGAAUAUAAAGGAUAAAUAUUUUUCCUAUCUUCCAUGUCCCUUCAUACGGAGAAUCUUUUAAGAGACAAGGAAUGUUGGGAACCUAAUUCUUCCCCAUUUUCUUUUUCCUUAUUCUCUUUUCUUGCCCCAUGGAGGAAAAAAAUUCAUGUUGCCUAUUUUAUGCUUUGUCCUAUUUAUUAAUGUAUCAAAUGAUUUUAAAAUUCCCCUUCAAAUUUUCUUUUUACAAAAGGUAUUUUAAGAUUUUGCUAGUUAUUCUUUGCUCUGCAUUGAUAUUAGUUUGAUCAACACGGAUAUUUGAAAUGAAGAAUACAUAUACCCCAAUUAGUUUAGGACUAAGGCUUGAUCGUGGUUGUUGUGCUUGUUUUAUUUGCUUGCCUGCUUUUUCCCUCCCUCCCUCGUUUUAAAGGGAAAGUACAAUUAACUCCCUCCCAUUCUUCCCAUUUUCUCCAACUUCACUCAAAUCAAGCACACCCUAAAGCUGUAAAUAGAAUUUUCUCAAACGCUUAUGAAGCCCUUAGUUAAAAAUAAAAUAAUACCCUUCUAACCCAUCACCCCACCAACACUAACUUUAACAACUAGAAGAAGAAACAUAAAGUGGAAGAUAGAAACUAUUGUCGAAACUUAUUGAACCCAAGGUAAUGAAAUCCAAUAAGCAAUUACAAAGCUGCUUCUAGUUCAAGUUGAUAGAAAAUGCUUACCAAAGACUACUUUUUCUAUCUAAGAAUUAUUAAAAUAUCACCGAUUAAUUUAGAAAAAUCACCACCAAAAUGGGCUGCCAUAAUGGACCAAGACUUGGGAAGCCUCUAGCCCAAAGUUGGAUGUCCAAGCCCGCAUUUUAGAAUACUCCACAUUACUCCACCUAAAAGAUAUUUUUUAUAAUGUCUACAUAGUUCUAGAAUUCUCCAUGUAAUCUAAACCGUCCAUCUUUUGUAGACAAAUCUUAGACGUACAUUGAGGAGGUGGAAAUGGCUAUAAAUACCACCCCUCACCUCACUUGUAAUGCAACCAAGCAAAAACCAAGUAAGUAAUCCUUUCUUUAAGCUUUGUGAAUAUUUGUUUCUUAUUAAUACAAUUAUAUUUGGUGUUUUGUGUCAGUAAAUACCACCCCUCACCUCACCGUUGUGUAUUGGUUAGUGUCAGGAACACCAUUACCUUAUGGCGGAUUUUUCUGGAGUUGCUAAUAGCAUCGAGAAGCUAAAUAGCAACAAUUACGGGAACUGGAGUACCCGUAUGAGAUAUUAUCUCAUAGGUCAAGACUUAUGGGAUAUCGUCGGAGGAGAUAAUAUUACACCAUCAUUUGGGGAUGCGAAAGCUCUGAAAGAGUGGGAGACAAAAUGCGAGAAGGCAAUGUAUGUGCUGACGGUUGUAGUAGAAGAUGAGCAUAUGCAAUAGAUCAAGUUAGCUAAAACACCAAAGGAAGUGUGGGAAAUCCUCAAGUCUGCUUUUGCCAAGAAGAAUGAAGCAAAACUGCAACGACUCGAAAACGAGUCGUUCUCAAUCUCACCAUAGAACCUCACUGUAAGUCAAUACUUUUCUAAAGUAAAAUCUUUAUGUGAGGAGAUUUCGAAAUUAGAUCCAGACAACGAGAUCAAUGGGACAAGGAUGAGGAGGAUCAUCAUCCAUGGUCUAAGACCUGAAUUUAAGGGUCUUGUGACUGCUACUUGUGGUUAGGCUACACAACCAACCUUAGACGAGUUAGAGAAUAUCUUGUCCAAUGAAGAGACUUUAGACGAAAAAAUGUCUAAAGUAGCUUUGAAGGAUGAUGAGAAAGCUCUCUUUGCUAAAAAGAGGGGAUUUCGAAACGUUGUGAGAGUAGAUGAUGGAAAAGAAAAGAGCAAUCAACAAGGAUGGAGAAAGCAAAAGUGGAGACCAUCACAGCAAGGGAGAUCAAGGCCAGGACAAAGGAAAGACGACUGGCGAGAAAGUGAUCGUUGCUAUAAGUGCAAUAAGAGAGGACAUUUCGCUCAAGAAUAUCGAAGCAAACGAGUAGAAGGAAACACAGCAUCAACCCAGAACGAGCAACAAAGUGAAGAGGAAUGGGAUAUUCACAAUUUCUUUGUCCAGGAGGAAAAAAAUUCGCCACAGAAGCCAGUAGAGAUGAUGAUGAAAGGACCCGAGCAAGAGUCAUCAUUAAUAUCAGUAAGUGAUAGAAUCAACUAUGAUGAUGAUUGGAUAGUUGAUUCUGGAAGUUCUAAUCACAUGACAAGAAACAAGGAGAAAUUAUCAGAUGUAUCCGAUUAUGAUGAAGGUCGUGUUGUAGUCACAGCAAAUAACACGAGAUUACCAAUAGCUCAUAUUGGAAAGACAACCAUUGUUUCUCCCUCCAGUAAGGAGAAAAUGGAGUUACAGAUGGUUUACCAUGUGCCAAGGAUGAAGAAAAACUUACUCUCUGUAUCACAAAUAGCAAGUGCAGGUAAUUAUGUGGUGUUCGGUCCUAAUAAUGUUAAGGUUUAUCAUAACCUUAAAUUAAUCGGAGAUCUAGUCAUGGAAGGACGGCGAGUAGAAUCAAUCUACGUCAUGUCAGCACAAGAAGCCUAUGUUGACAAAACAAGGAAGAACGGGACAGCUGACUUGUGGCACGCUUGUCUGAGACAUGGUAGUUAUCACAAGCUUAAGGUGAUGAUGAAGAAGUCCAUGCUUAAAGGUCUUCCUCAGUUGGAAUGCCGAGAAGACACUAUAUGUGCUGGAUGCCAAUAUGGAAAAGCUCACCAACUUCCCUUUGAAGAGUCAAAACAUAAAGCCAAGGUGCCAUUGGAGUUAAUACAUUCAAAUGUUCUUAGACGGAUCAAGCAAUCUACAAACAGUAAUAUGAGGUACAUGAUUACUUUCAUCGAUGACUACUCGAGAUAUGUUUGGGUAGAUUUCAUGGUAGAGAAGUCGAAAGCUUUUGAAAAAUUCAAAGCUUUCAAGUUUUCAAAAGCUUUCAAGAAGAAAGUUGAAAAAGAAGUCGGGAAUAAAAUUAGAUGCCUUCGUACCGACAAUGGUGGAGAGUACACCUCUGACGAAUUCACUAAAUAUUGCUAAGAGCAAGGCAUUCGAAGGCAAUUCACAUGUCCAAGAACACCGCAACAGAAUGGAGUUGCUGAGAGAAAGAAUCGACACCUAGUGGAGAUUUGCAGGAGUUUGCUCCAUGCGAAGAAUGUGCCAAAUAGAUUUUGGGCAGAGUGCAUGAAGACAGUUAUGUACGUCACCAACAGACUACCUCAAGCAAGACUGGAGUUUACAUCCCUAUUCCAGAAACUAUGGAACAUUAAACCAACUGUAAGUCAUUUUCGCAUUUUUGAAUGCGUGUGUUAUGUCUUUGUUCCGAAUGAACUUCGAAGCAAGUUUGACAAAAAGGCACUUCGCUGCAUAUUCGUUGGUUAUGAUGAGCAAAGAAAAGGCUGGAGAUGUUGUGAUCCUACAACUAACAAGUGCCAUAUUUCACNNNNNNNNNNNNNNNNNNNNNNNNNNNNNNNNNNNNNNNNNNNNNNNNNNNNNNNNNNNNNNNNNNNNNNNNNNNNNNNNNNNNNNNNNNNNNNNNNNNNNNNNNNNNNNNNNNNNNNNNNNNNNNNNNNNNNNNNNNNNNNNNNNNNNNNNNNNNNNNNNNNNNNNNNNNNNNNNNNNNNNNNNNNNNNNNNNNNNNNNNNNNNNNNNNNNNNNNNNNNNNNNNNNNNNNNNNNNNNNNNNNNNNNNNNNNNNNNNNNNNNNNNNNNNNNNNNNNNNNNNNNNNNNNNNNNNNNNNNNNNNNNNNNNNNNNNNNNNNNNNNNNNNNNNNNNNNNNNNNNNNNNNNNNNNNNNNNNNNNNNNNNNNNNNNNNNNNNNNNNNNNNNNNNNNNNNNNNNNNNNNNNNNNNNNNNNNNNNNNNNNNNNNNNNNNNNNNNNNNNNNNNNNNNNNNNNNNCAAAAUCAAAACUCGCCCGGAUGGAUCAAUUGAGCGAUACAAAGUAAGACUGGUUGCUCGUGGAUUUUCUCAAGAGUAUGGCUUGGACUAUGAUGAGACAUUUAGUCUGGUUGCCAAGAUCACUACUGUGCAUGUAUUACUAGCUUUAGAAGCUAGUAAGUCAUGGCCUUUGUGGCAGAUGGAUUGAAGAACACAUUCUUACAUGGUGAAGUUGAUCGUGAAAUCUACAUGGAGUAACCACCAAGGUUCAAACGUCGUGAGAAUCCUAACUAUGUGUGCAAGCUAAGGAAAGCUCUUUAUGGUCUAAAACAAGCACCAAGGGCUUGGUAUGACAAGAUUGCAGAAUUCCUUGUCAAGAAUGGAUAUGUUAUGACACAAGCAGACUCCAGUUUGUUUGUGAAAGAUCAGGAAGGAAGACUAGCUAUAGUGCUAGUAUACGUUGAUGAUUUAAUAGUCACUGGCGAUAAUAGUGAAGAGAUUCAACUCAUUCGAGAGAAUUUGGCUACUCGUUUCAAAAGAUGAAAGAGCUAGAAAAGCCUAGGCAUUUCCUUAGAUUGGAGAUAGAAGAAGCCAAGGAAGGUUUGUACCUCGGACAACAGAAGUAUGCAAGAGAUCUACUGAAGAGGUUUAGAAUGAUGGAAUGCAAGCCAAUAUAUAUUCCAAUGGAUGCUAAUGUCAAGCUGUGUGCUCAUGAAGGGAAUGAUCUCGAAGAUGCUACUAUGUAUAGACAACUAGUGAGAAGCCUAAUCUAUCUCACUAUGACACGACCAGACAUUUCCUUUGCAGUUGGAGUAGUCAGCCGAUUUAUGCAGAAGCCUAAAAAAGCUCAGUUGAAAGCAGUUCGAAGAAUAUUGAGAUAUGUCAAAAGUACAAUCGAUUAUGGGAUCUUUUACAAGAGAGGUGAAAUUAUCAACUUGGAAGGAUAUUGCGAUGUUGAUUAUGUAGGAGAUCACGACACUUGGCGCUCGACAACAUGCUAUGCAUUUAGUCUUGGUUCAAGAGUAAUCUCUUGGUGCAGCAAGAGACAACCUACAGUGUCACUUUCCAUAAUAGAAGCUGAGUAUCGGGCAGUAGCAAUAGCAGUUCAGGAAAGUGUUUGGCUGUCACAGCUUAUGAACGAUCUGCAUCAACCCAUCGACUAUCCAAUUACGUUUAAUUGUGAUAAUCGUUCGGCUAUACAAAUGGCUGAGAAUGUUUAACUAUCAGUUGGGUAUGAUGAAGAAAGAGAAAUUAAUCGUUGAGGGAGAGUAUUAAAAUAUCACUUAUUAAUUUAGAAAAGUCACCACCAAAAUGGGCUGCCAUAAUGGACCAAGACUUGGGAAGCCUCUAGCCCAAAGUUGGAGGUCCAAGCCCGCAUUCUAAAAUACUCCACAUUACUCCACCCAAAAGAUAUUUUGUAUAAUGUCUACAUAGUUCUAGAAUUCUCUAUGUAAUCUAAACCGUCCAUUUUUGUAGACAAAUCUUAGCCGUACAUUGAGGAGGUAGAAAUGGCUAUAAAUACCACCCCUCACCUCACUUGUAAUGCAACCAUGCAAAAACCAAGUAAUCCUUUCCUUAAGCUUUGUGAAUGUUUGUUUCUUAUUAAUACAAUUAUAUUUGGUGUUUUGUGUUAGUAUUAUUUUGGUUGUCUUUCCCGUUAUUAUUUUUGGUGUUAUAAAUUAUUAAUCACUCUUAGAGUUUAUCGCUGCACUUAUACCCAAUAGGUACUUGACCAUUUUCUGUAGUUUUUGAAAAGCUUCUUCAUCACUUCUGUCAAUGCACGCUCAUCCAACUAGAAUGAAAUAGAUAAAAAUAUGUUAAAAGAAGAUGAAAUACAUUGCUAAAAGACUAAUCAAAUGGUACUCCAUAAUCUGCAUUAUAUGAAGCAGUAAAGUAGCUGCUUGUUUCUUUUUGUCUUGCAGUAACAGUAAAUAUAGUAAAGUACAUUUUCUAGUUCAAAAAUAUAAUAUACCAUACGCCAUCACUUUGAUUGUGAUGUACAAGCAAUUCUAUAGCAUGUGUGAUAGAAACAGAACUUUGAAGGUCAAAAAAUCCUGAACAGAACUGUGCCAACAAACAAAAAGGAGAUAAUCAAACAAACAUAGGGGCAGUCUUCUACAGCUGCUAUUUGCCCUUGAGAUGGAAACAUUGGCAGAAUGGAAGCAAAUUCUCCCACAGCAUAGUUUUCUCAAUACUGCCCUCCUCUAAGAAUUAUGUUUUAAAAGGAUUGCCAACUAUUCAUUAAGAAUAUAUAAUGUGGAAGUACAAACCUUGGGUUGUUGAUCAGGCUUUGGAAAUUGUCGAAUGUGCACAUUUGCAAGUACUAAGAUUAAAUGUUCCCUUUGAUUAGCAACAUUAUCCUUCUGCAAAUUUAAUAGGCACCCAAUGGAAAUAGGUCAAGGAAAAAAUGUUACAUACUUCCAAUCAUACUUAAUUAACUGCCAACUUCAAAAUGCUUGGAGAAAUAAUUAUUUGUAGUUCUUUCACCUGAAACCCAAACAUCGCCUGAAGCCAAUCUAAAAUAUCUUCGUCUCUUUUCUUCUUGUGGUCUUUGGGCCAUGGAAGUAGCGGAGAGCUACAACAGCAGCUUGGAUCUACAAAUGGUUAGACACAAGCAUUUUCAUGCUAAGUGAGAGAAGCUAAAACAAAGCUCACUAUCCAAACCACACAUACGAAAUGUACCUCAGGAUAUUUCAUAAUUGCCUGAUUUGCCCUAUCAGGAUCAAGUGGAAGGAUAUUGUAAGGGACAUAUAUCUGAGUCUUUUCUGCAACUUUAUCCUGAGCUUCUAAAAGCUUUACAAUAUCCACAAAGAAUAAGUUACACAUAUGUAACAGAUGGUCAGCAAUUAGCAUUAUUAAGUUGACAAAAUUUGAAAUAGGUGAUAUCUGCCAUUAGAUUAAACAUUCACAAUAGAGUAAAUGUCACAAGGUUUCAACUCACGAUCUACUUCAAUAGAUUGUGUCAUAUUAACAGCUUUCAAAUCCUCAAAGAGAACAUUAGCAGUUUGGUAUGCCUUUGUAAGCUGUGCACUGGAUUUAAAAAGACAACCGUCAAAAAUGGCAACUACGCUGGGAUUCCAGAAAAUAUUAGCUAAGAAAAUUUCUUACUAAGACAUAAGCAAAUAUCUCUAUCUUUUCCCUUCUACAGCAAAAAACUCACCGAUCAGCUUUAUCAGCAGCAUUUUGCAAGGCUUGGAUAUACUUUUUGUAGUAAUGUUGAUAAAAACUCUGCAUUUCCCGCGCAUCACUCUUUUUUACCCUUCCCAUCAAGGUUGGAUCAUUUUCCUGAAAAGAAUUAAAAAAAACCCUCUAGUAGCAAAUAGGAGAGAGCAUAAAAGAAGCAAAUAGCUAAAGGUAUCAUUUAACCAUAUGCUGGUCGUAAUUGUCAAUGCUAUAGAAAUUGUUUCUACUAAAAAAAUCGUGUAUUACACAGUGGUCAUGGGUCUCAAGACUUGGACUUCAGAAACUGACAUUCAUUUAUACUAAAAUCAUACCCUGUUUGUAACAUUACUUCUUAUUUUACGCAUUUUUCAUAAUUGCAUUAUGUAUAAACUAUCAACUAUCAGUCCAUAGGACACUUCUUCCUUGAGCAAUUAGCAUCCCAAAAAGACUCAUUACCCUAACAGUUAAAACCGCUCCACACUCCAAGACCCCAAUAAUUUAGUUCAUGCAAAUCAAAGGAACUUCCAAAUCAAACAUGGGACUUCAGAAAGAGAC